GGUUUUCUAUGAUCCAAAUAAGAGUACACAUGCCUUUAUUUUAACAUACAGAUUAAAUGUUGACAAGUACAUUUUGAUUGCUUAGUCAGUGUAUUGUCCGUUCAAAAAAAAGUCAAUGUAUUGAUAAUAGUUUGGCUUCCUUGGUAGUGUAGAUUCAAGGAAAUUUAUAAAAUUCAUCCAUUCUUUCUUCACUUUUUUGUAUUUAUAUAUGUUCUGUACUGUUGAGUUAACUCAGUUGCAGCUAUAAAAAGUCAAUGUAUUGAUAAUAGUUUGGCUUCCUUGGUAGUGUAGAUUCAGCUAACAGUUUUGGUUCCUACUAUUAAAACAUAUACUGCUUUUUAAGAGAAACAUACCUAAUGUUUUAUUUGAUUAACCCUGUAUGUAUAGCAAAUUUCUUCUAAUUUGUUUUUCUUAAGUGCUGAAGACUUCCAUAAGGACGCAACUACAAAUAGUUCUUAUCUUCAGAGGGUAGCCUUAGUCUCUCUACCUUUUCUUUUUUGGUGUUGAUAAUUGGAUUAAAUAUGUUAGAUAGCUGCUGAGUAUUUUGAUUUGUUCUUAGGAAAAUCGUUUACGCCAAGAGAUAGAAGACCUGGAGAAGGACACUGGGUAUAAGUUGAGAGUUCUCGCACAAAAUCAUCCGGACACACCGUAAAAUGGAUAGAUGACCCGUUUGCGCCUCAAGAAGUCAUAGGCAGGACCAAAUGUAUGAUGGAGCGCACGACCAAAACCUAUCCACAUAAAAUUCAUGCAUUCUUUCUUCACUUUUUUGUAUUUAUAUGUUCUGUACUGUUGAGUUAACUCAGUUGCAGCUAUAACAAGUGAGCUCUAUAUUCAAUUCAGCUAACAGUUUUUGUUCCUACUAUUAAAACAUAUAUUGCUUUUUAAGAGAAACAUACCUAAUGUUUUAUUUGAUUAACCCUGUAUGUAUAGCAAAUUUAUUCUAAUUUGUUUUUCUUAAGUGUUGAAGACUUCCAUAAGGGCGCAACUACAGAAUCAUCUGGACACACCGUAAAAUGGAUAGAUGACCCGUUUGCGCCUCAAGAAGUCAUAGGCAGGACCAAAUGUGAUGUAAUUACUUUCAAUAGUGCUUCAGCUCUGCAAUCGACAGUUUGACCUCAUGCUAGGGCAGCCUCAGCCAGUUGCCUCUUCUAUCAAAGUGCUGAUGGAAGACAUCCUGAGUCCUUAUUGCAUGCUAGAGAACAACAACUAUCUUGUUGGUGAUUCCCCUGAUAUUUGGUUCUACAAGUGUGGCAUAUGGACCAAUGAAAGCAAAGAUAUUCUGAAUGUAAUAGCUAUAUGGGUUGUGCCAAAUGGUUUAACAGUGGAAGCGUCACGCUUAAGUACCUGUGGAAGUGUACUAUGCAAGCAUUAUCAGACAAUGCAAUGACACCCUGUUUGUACAUUCACACCCUUUGAAUGCCGCAAUCAGACUAAGAAGAUGCCUAAA
Long non-coding RNA from Triticum dicoccoides, 1447 nucleotides. RefSeq lists it as uncharacterized. Lineage: Eukaryota; Viridiplantae; Streptophyta; Magnoliopsida; Poales; Poaceae. The transcript has 3 exons. The record is from RefSeq and is a predicted model, not a curated record.